GCCAGACUCCUACGGGAGGCAGCAGUGGGGAAUAUUGCACAAUGGGGGGAACCCUGAUGCAGCAAUGCCGCGUGAAGGAUGAAGGUUUUCGGAUUGUAAACUUCUUUUGUACGGGACGAAGAAAGUGACGGUACCGUAAGAAUAAGCACCGGCUAACUCCGUGCCAGCAGCCGCGGUAAUACGGAGGGUGCAAGCGUUACUCGGAAUCACUGGGCGUAAAGAGCGCGUAGGCGGGAUAGCAAGUCAGAUGUGAAAUCCUGUGGCUUAACCAUAGAACUGCAUUUGAAACUGUUAUUCUAGAGUAUGGGAGAGGUAGGUGGAAUUCUUGGUGUAGGGGUAAAAUCCGUAGAGAUCAAGAGGAAUACUCAUUGCGAAGGCGACCUGCUAGAACAUAACUGACGCUGAUGCGCGAAAGCGUGGGGAGCAAACAGGAUUAGAUACCCUCGUAUUA
RNAcentral lists this ribosomal RNA (451 nucleotides) under uncultured bacterium. RNAcentral's name for it is "bacterial SSU rRNA". It matches the Rfam family "Bacterial small subunit ribosomal RNA", at positions 330 to 795 of the family's 1533-position model. The record is from RNAcentral.